Non-coding RNA from Phrynosoma platyrhinos (Desert horned lizard), 72 nucleotides. The record is from the annotation of a GenBank genome assembly. Lineage: Eukaryota; Metazoa; Chordata; Lepidosauria; Squamata; Phrynosomatidae.
GCCAGCAUGGCACAGUGGUUUUAGUGCUGGACUACAACUCUGAAGACCAGGGUUUGAUUCCCAGCUUGGUCA